AGGACGAACGCUGGCGGCGUGCCUAACACAUGCAAGUCGAGCGAAGCUGCUCUUAAACUUCGGUUUUGGGGUAGACUUAGCGGCGAACGGGUGAGUAACCCGUGGGUAAUCUACCUGGAAGCCUGGGAUAACAGUUCGAAAGGGCUGCUAAUACCGGAUGAUACCAUUACUGUAAGGUGAUGGUCAAAGCGUUAUGUAGUGCUUUCAGAUGAGCCCGCGUCCCAUUAGCUAGUUGGUAGGGUAAGGGCCUACCAAGGCGACGAUGGGUAGCCGGUCUGAGAGGAUGGUCGGCCACACUGGGACUGAGACACGGCCCAGACUCCUACGGGAGGCAGCAGUGGGGAAUUUUGCGCAAUGGGGGCAACCCUGACGCAGCGACGCCGCGUGAGUGAAGAAUGCCUUCGGGUUGUAAAGCUCUGUCUAGGGGGAAGAUAGUGACGGUACCCCUGGAGGAAGCCCCGGCUAACUACGUGCCAGCAGCCGCGGU
This 487-nucleotide ribosomal RNA is filed under the name uncultured bacterium. RNAcentral describes it as "bacterial SSU rRNA". It matches the Rfam family "Bacterial small subunit ribosomal RNA", at positions 26 to 521 of the family's 1533-position model. The record is from RNAcentral.